RNAcentral lists this long non-coding RNA (242 nucleotides) under Amborella trichopoda. RNAcentral describes it as "long non-coding RNA (ATRI_LNC002713)". Lineage: Eukaryota; Viridiplantae; Streptophyta; Magnoliopsida; Amborellales; Amborellaceae. The record is from RNAcentral.
UCAAAGAUUCUUCUAGACAGACGAAGGUGGUGCUCCUUUGGUGAUCUCAGGUCCACACUUAACUUUCAUUCACAAUAGAAUAAUCACAGAUGGUGUUCUUAUAGCCUAAGAGUGAACCCAUUCUGGAAUAGAAUUUUGACUGGUGAACGUGGUAUAUUGAUAAAGUUGGACAUGGACUGUGAUAGGGUGGACUGAGAUAUUCUUCAAGAGAUUAUAGUGUGCAUGGUUUUUGGCAAUAAUUG